UGAACGCUGGCGGCAGGCCUAACACAUGCAAGUCGAACGGAUCCUUCGGGAUUAGUGGCGGACGGGUGAGUAACGCGUGGGAACAUACCCAAAGGUACGGAAUAGCCUCGGGAAACUGAGAGUAAUACCGUAUGUGCCCUUCGGGGGAAAGAUUUAUCGCCUUUGGAUUGGCCCGCGUUGGAUUAGGUAGUUGGUGGGGUAAUGGCCUACCAAGCCGACGAUCCAUAGCUGGUUUGAGAGGAUGAUCAGCCACACUGGGACUGAGACACGGCCCAGACUCC
This 281-nucleotide ribosomal RNA is filed under the name unidentified marine bacterioplankton. RNAcentral describes it as "partial 16S ribosomal RNA". It matches the Rfam family "Bacterial small subunit ribosomal RNA", at positions 30 to 339 of the family's 1533-position model. The record is from RNAcentral.